Molecule: ribosomal RNA, 304 nt
Filed under: uncultured bacterium
Lineage: Bacteria
Description: partial 16S ribosomal RNA
Rfam family: Bacterial small subunit ribosomal RNA
Source: RNAcentral
CAGCAGCCGCCACGGGAAUACAGAGGGUGCGAGCGUUAAUCGGAUUUACUGGGCGUAAAGCGUGCGUAGGCGGCUUCUUAAGUCGGAUGUGAAAUCCCUGAGCUUAACUUAGGAAUUGCAUUCGAUACUGGGAAGCUAGAGUAUGGGAGAGGAUGGUAGAAUUCCAGGUGUAGCGGUGAAAUGCGUAGAGAUCUGGAGGAAUACCGAUGGCGAAGGCAGCCAUCUGGCCUAAUACUGACGCUGAGGUACGAAAGCAUGGGGAGCAAACAGGAUUAGAUACCCCAGUAGUCCCUGUCUCUUAUAA